GGCAAACCAGUAAUUGGACAUUCAGCAUGUCGCCAUCCAAUAUCACCAGCAUAUCUUUCAAAUACACAAAUCAUUUUGGAACGAACAUAUGGUGUUCCAUCAGCUGCCACAAAAACACCAUCCAUAUAAUACGCAUUACCAGGACAAUCAUUUAACGGGUCAAGUGGCAUUGCUUGUAACCCGAACCCGUAUUCACCUGCAUCCAUAUACGUCUUAAAAUACCAUGCAUCUGAUGGAUCCAUGUAAGGUACAAACAACUCUGACGUAAACCCUUUAUACAUAACAUUUCUCAUCUUCCCUGUAUCCGGAUCCUGAACCAUGGCCCGGGAUAUAAUAACCCCGGCUCUCGGGUCGGGCUUGAGGUGAAAUUCCCAAUUUGCCCAUUUUACUAGAUGAUUGUUUUCUAUAGUGAAACUUGGACCAUUUGGUUGUUCGAUAGAUAUUGGUUUGAGUAAGUUUGUUUUUUGUGUGUUUUUUUUAAUACGGGAGAAGCGAUAGUUUGUGUUGGCGGCCUUUGGUAUUGGUAUACUCUUUCCUUCAUCGAUAAUUUCGAUGACUUGUUGGGUGUCUAAAUCAAGAAGUACUGUUAAUCCUUCAAUUGGUCUCAUAUAGAAAUUGAUAGUGUCCUUCGAUGAAUAGCACUGUACUUUGAUCACUCUUCUUUUCUCCUCAACUUUCCCUGCAUAUAAAAAUUCGAAUCAGUUCCCUUGUAAUUACUUAGAUCACUCUAGUUCGCAAUACUACGUAUCUUACUAGAUUUUGGUGCAUACAGAUAUGUUAUGAUACCUCCAGAUAUAUGUAUUGGAAUACAUGAGAUUAAAAUUAUGUGUAAUUUAUUCUAAAUAUAUUAUAUGUGGAUUUGCAUGUAUAUGAGAUACAUAACAAAUCUCAUUCAUUACUCUCCUAUGUAUCUAGUAUCUCAAAUACAUGUGAAUCACACCUGAUAGAUACAUGUAUCUAGUGUGAUUCAUAUAUAUUUGAGAUAUAUAAAGAAUCUCAUUCGCCGAAAAAAAAAAAAAAAUACAAUCAACAAACCAACCAGUGGAGAUGGGCAAACAUGCCAGGUCAGCCAAAUCGACGCCACGCUGGACAAUGGUAUGGUUAAAAUCAGAGUUGGCAAGCGGGGCAGAAGUCGCCGUGAUCAUAUCCUCCAUCGUCAUGAUCGGGUAACACGACCCGAUUCAAUAUCCACGGUAAUCACGUGCAAUUACCGACGCCUUCCUCGGCGGAAGCCGGUGACCUUUCCGCCAGUCCAACACCACCUCCUUCUCCGGCUCUUCGAGUACAACAGAGUGAAGAACGCAACCUUUAAUCCUAAAUUCGUCAAUUGAAGUAACAAUUUUCUUGACUUUUUGAAUUUCUCCGAUUGUCAGUGGGUCUAAAGGAUGAUUGGGGAAAUCGGCAUAGUGAUUUUUAGCAUUUUCCGGUUGCCGGAAAAAGUGUUUUUUUGAACUGCACCAUGGGGAGUAAAUGGAGCAGUUUAGCAGCUCGUCUGUGUGAGAAAGCGGAGAUGGUAAGUUUAAAAAAGUGAAAAUUAAGAGCAAAAUUAUGCUCAUGAGGAAGAAGAGAUAUCUAAGGAAUAUUCAUCCUUCCCUAGCUGCGUUUAAUUUUUGUGAAUUUCAAUUUCUUUGGUCUUGUGAUUGUGGGAGCUGCUAUGGUGUUUAAAUACAUGCAACGGAUGGGGCAUGGUACAGUACGGUAUUUGAAAGUUUCGAUACCGUGAUUUGAAUAUUCAGUUUUAAAAUAUUAUAUCAUUAUCAUACCAAUUUAAUUUGAUAUGGUUCGGUAUAUUGAAGUUCGAUUUCAGUAUUUUACGAUAUGGUAAAUCGGUGACCAUAAUUUGUUCAAAACAAUUAAAAAGGAUCUCAAUUGUAUCAUACUAAUACAUUACACACGUAAAAUAUAUAUGCAAAAUAAAGUACAAACAACUUUUUGUUAAUCAAUUACAAUUUAAAUAUAUUUCAAUCAAUAUUUGUUGUGUGUGUAUUUCGGUAUAUCACAUACCAUGCCCACUAUUUUAUAAUUUUAUUACUAAAAUAAAUAAAUAAAAGUAAAAUUUUCAAUAAUUCUCUAAAUAAAUUUAAGAAUAAAUUAUCACUAAUACAAAAAGGGGAAAAAUAUUGUAAUUGCUAUUUGGGAAAGAUAACAACACAAAAUAUGAUAAUAACCGAGAUAAAUUUUGAAAUGAAAUCAUAAUCAAUCUCCAUAUUUACUAGCAUUUCCCACCCCGACUCAGGCCUCAACUAAUAUUUGCAUUGAUUAUUGACUUUAUAUUUCGAACAAGAAAAGAAUAUAAAAAAAAAGGUAAGAAUAAUGACAAAAUGAAUAAAGUUACCUCAGAAACAUAAUGCUAUGAAAUCUCUAUCCUAGUAGUUUAAGGCAAACAUCUAAAGAAAUUAUUUAUGGCAAUAUCAUUUUCGAUGAAAUUUGCUUUAUUUAUUUAUAUAAUUUUUAGAAAAUAUAAAUAAUGGUGGGAUGUUGAGGGUUCAUCGACCCUCAAUCAAAUGUUUCGAUUCAAGUUUUGGAAAUAGAGAAAAUUAUAUUGGGAAUAUUGUACUUUAAAUGGGACCUGCAAAACUGUAAUAUGCAAUCUAAAUUUAAUUGAACUUUAAUAUAGACACUAAACAUUCAACUUUUAGAAAUUUUAGCAGUGAACUAGCUCAUUAUAAGUGAAGUUAUGGAUUCAGAUCAAAUAUUUAUGUGUCAGAGAAUUACAGAACGAGGCAAACUCAUAUAUGGCAUAAAUAUUUCCUUUUAACUAAUUGGCUUUAGCUGUAUUUAUGUACUCUAAUUUUGAGUGUACACAAAUAGAUACUUAAAUUUAUAUAAAAUUAAAUAAGUAGGUGCAUGCGUCCUACGUGACAUAAUAAAUGUAGUACUCCUCGUAGGACACAAAUUGUCAUAUAGGACGCAUGUGUCUAUUUGUUUGAUUUUAUCAAGUUAAAAUACCUAAUUGUGCACACCUAAAAUUAGAUGUCAUAAAUAUCAAUUAAGACCAAAUUAAAUGGUACGUUUAUGUAUUAUACCUAAACUAUAUUUGUCCCUAACUACAAACACAUAUAAUUCAAAUUUUGAAUGAAUCAAAGGUGUGCUCUUUAUAAGUAACAAUAAUUUUUUAUUUCACCGACAUGGAUUAUGAUGCAUUGGUGGAAUGCUUUCACCCUUAACCAGAGGUCUCGAAUUUGAGCCCUGAAUAUGGCGAAAAAAAUUCUUUGUUUUUGUUUUGGUGUGUGGCUUUGUAGUUUGUAAUCUAUCAGUUGUUGAGAUAGCCGAGUUGCCCUAAGGUACUAAAUUAAGGUUUUAUGAUUCGAAAAGGAUCAUGUGUCUUCAUCAAUGUAUAUUAAUUUUGUGUCAAACUUUACCAAGAAUAUGGUGAUGUAUGUCUACACAUGCACUCAUCAUUAUUAUGUGGCCGUUGGUUAUAUUAAUAUCGAAAAGAUUUCUUUUUCGACUUAUCGUUGGCCUCAUUCAAGAAUUAUUUUUUAUCUAAUUCGUAGGGAUCAAUAGAAAAAACAAAUUAUUUAUGAUAUAUCAAAUUCGGAUCGAUUAUUGAUAGAGUUAAUAUAUAUAUUAUUUCUUGAAAUCUCUCUUCUAAUUUAAAAUAUAGUGUAACGUGUAUCCUCUCAUGCUCCGCUCAUCAAAUAGUUGAAGAAAUCAAAAAAUAUAUUUUUUGUUCAAGAAUGAAAUUUUAUUAAAACUGUCCAUAGCAAGCUUGUUAUGUAUAUUAUCUUCAUGGAAUAGUUUUAGAUAAUACUUUCAAUUGAUAGAUUAUCAUAUAAUACCGACUAUAUAUGAAUAGUAGUGUUGCAUUGAUAGGAAUAAAAUUUACAUACAUGUUAUUAUUCAACUUUUGUCAAUAUAUAUAUACACUAUCUUCUUCAGAUCCAUUUGAGAGAUUACAAAUAUGUUAUUAUUGUUCUAAACUAUAGUGUUAGGUGAGUCAUUUUUUUAACAGAAAAAAAAGGAUGAGAUGUAAACCCUGAAUUACGAGGUAUAUACGAGUACGAUAUUAUUGUUCCAAACAAUAGUGUUAGGUGGGCAUUUUUUAAAAGAAACAAACAGGAUGAGAUAUAAACCCUGAAUCACGGGAUAUAUAUACAAAUGUUCUAACAUGUGCCCAAACUUUACAAAGGAAUUAAUAAAGAGCAACUUUCACAUAUAGCAAACAAAAAAAUCAUAUUUGUAUGCUAUAGCAAAGUUUGCAUAAUUGCGCUCCAUAACAAACAUAUAUAUGUAUAAUUCGCUAUAUGAAAUUGUUGACUAUUGUUUCGAAUUUGUAUAUUUAAAACUUUCAUCAUUUGAAAUUGAAUGUAGAUUCCAGGUUGUAUAUUUUGUUCGUAAUAGAGUUUAACAGUUAUGAUUUCAAAAUUUGUGAUCAUCAAAUUUUCUGGAUGAUAUUGUUGAUUAUUUUGAAUUUUGGAUCGCAGAGUCGCUUUGGUCACAGUCAUAUUUUUUUCGGAUUUGUAUAUUUGUUGUCAAAUCUAUGAAUGAAGAUGAAAUUGUAAUAUGAUUUGUUAAAAGUUUAUACAUAUAGGUGUUUUGGUAUGAUUCAGUCAGAUUUGUAUAAAUUCAUAUAUGAAAUUGUUGACUAUUGUUUCGAAUUUGUAUAUUUAUACAGUGCAGGUGCGUCUUUUGGUUUGGAUAUAUGAAUCUGUAUAUUUGUAUACAAUUUUAUCAAUUGUAUAUUUGUAUAAAGUUUUAAUUUGUGUAUAUAAUCUUUUAUAUAAGUGUAUAUUGGGAAUAUGUAUAUAAAUGAAAAAUAGAAUUCGUUGUAGUUUAUAUACAUAUACCUAUUAGUGUUGUUGUGAGUUGUAUAAGUAUAUGAAUUUGUUGACUAUUUUUUCGAAUUUGUAUAUUUAUACAAUGCAGGUUCGUCCUUAGUUUGGAUGUAUGAUUCUGUAUAUAAUAGGUAUAUGUAUAUGUCUAUUAUUUUAGGUUUGUCAAUUGUAUAUUGUAUAAAGCUUUAAUUUGUAUAUAAGUAUAUAUUAGGAAUAUGUAUAUAAAUGAAAAUCUGAAGUCGCUAUAAUUUGUAUAAGUAUAUAUUCUUUUAUUGUUGCAAUUUUCAAUCAUAUAAAUGUAUAUGUAUAUAUAACAUAAUUUUUUAUACAGAAAUAAUAAAAAUGGCUUCGUUAGUUGUGUUGGUUAUGCAUUCUGGUAGAUGGGACAGUGACAAUUGUUACGUUGAUUAUACAAUUGAGGGGGUUAUUUUCAAAGAAAGUUCAUCGUAUAAGGAGUUGUAUAAUGUUAUUGCAACGCAAUUCGAAGUUGAUAUGAAUGUGAUUAAGCUGAAAAUUGAGUAUAAGGUUGAAGAAAGCAAUACACCAAUGUUGAUUCACAGCGACAUGGGUGUUAGAGUGUAUAUCUAAUCCGAUUUCGAUCAAAAAGAUCGCGACUUUUUCCUUCAGAAAUGAAUCAAGAAGCUAUGUUUCAAGAAAUCUCCGCGAGAAUCAUAGCGGCAACUCCGCAAUACCGAAGGGCUUGAAAUCGGUGAAGAAAGACUAUAGCAAAAAGAAACAAUUUAGCUAGUAGAGGCUUGUACUGUGAUCGGGUGAAGGGGAAAAAUCCAUUAAUAGCAAAUUGACCGAGAGAUUUGCUCUUUAAUGAAAAUAAAUGAAACUGUAGCUAUUUUAUUUAUUUUAAAUUAAUAGUUUGCCAUUAUGUACAAUUUUCCCAUUAAUAAAUUAUAGUUAAGAUCUUUAUUCGUAUGACAUUUGAUAUGCUUAUAUUUUUGUAUCAUAAAAGCUUAGUGCAUAUGUUUUUCUCAGAAUAUAUUAUAAUUUUUAUCGAACUUUACCAAAAUGAUAGUACAUAAUGGGAUUGUCGUCUUUCUACAAAUAUUUUUGGAAAGGAAUAACUUUUUUAGUUUGAGUUGGCACAUGUAUUAUGGUAGGUGCAUCACAAUGAAUAUAUUAGUCAUAUGUAUCCCGUACUACACUAAUUAUUUUAUUUUUAGUUGUGAUAAGGAACAAAUAUUUCCACGUACGGUACUAAUUUUUGUUGCAUUUUAUUUGGUUACAAUUAUUAAAAUGAGAGUUGAAUUUAUUGUAUUUGAAUGAAAUCUGGUCCAACACGUGUAGAUGAACUUUAUCUAUUAAGAAUUUUACCCACCACGUGUAGAUGAACUUUAUCUAUUAAAGAAUUUUACCCACCACGUGUAGAUGAACUUUAUCUAUUAAAGAAUUUUACCCUUUUGGAAGUAUGUUAUGCAAAUUGUAGAGAUGUUUGUUGGGUUCCAAUUAAUAACUAGGGCAUCACGUGGAAGCUUACAGUUACAAAUUAAGAUGGUGAUAAAUUAGAUGACAAAAACUUAUAUUAAAAAUGUGAUAUUAUUAUAUGAAAACUAAUAUAAAAGAAAAAUAUUAAAAUUAUUGAGAAUAAAUCUCCCCACAAAUAAAACUCUUUAAUGACUACAUUGUGGAUUUUAUUGUUAUUCUUAAUAUGAGAAGAGAGUCUUCAAUUUAUAGAAUUCCAAAUAUUUCUUCUAAAGAAAUAAUAAAUCAAAUAUGGAAGAAAAAUAUAUUUUCCUUUCAUGAAAAGUAAAAACAUUUAUGUUAAUGUUUUGUCUUUUCUUUUAAGAAAAAAUUAAUUUCAAAUAAGAAAGAAAAUCAAAGCAAAAUCUUAACAACAUUUGAAAAGAUUUAGGGUGUGUUUGGUAUGAAGAAAAAUAUUUUCCAUGAAAAAUGUUUUCCUGGAAAACAAGUUGAUUUUUGACUUAUUUUCUCAUGUUUGGUUGGUGAGUAGAAAAUAUUUUCCGAAAAAGAUUUUAGUGUUUGAUUUAUGAAUGAAAAAUAAUUUUGAGAAAUAUCUUUUAUUUUUACUAGAGUAGAAAAUAAUUUUUGAAAUUGAAAAUAUUUUUUAAAAACAAACUUAAAUUUUUUUAGGGGUGAGGGUUGUUUGGGUGGUGGGUGGGGUGGGGGGAUGGUANNNNNNNNNNNNNNNNNNNNNNNNNNNNNNNNNNNNNNNNNNNNNNNNNNNNNNNNNNNNNNNNNNNNNNNNNNNNNNNNNNNNNNNNNNNNNNNNNNNNNNNNNNNNNNNNNNNNNNNNNNNNNNNNNNNNNNNNNUCAAUUUUUUUUUGUGGGGGGAAGGUCGGGGAGGGGGCGUGGGUGAUCGAGGAUCGGGAUGAAAAAAUAAAAAAUUGAAGUUGAAUUUGUUUUAAAAAAACAAUACAAAAAUUGAUGGGGGGACGAGGGUAGUGGGGGGGUAAAAAAUAAAAAAUUAAAAUUAGAAAUAUCUUUUAAAAAUAAUUUUUAAUAUUUUUUUGGGAGGGGUGGGAGUAGGGGUGAGGGUGCGUAAAAAAAUUGAAUUUAAAAACAAACUUUAAAAUAAUUUUUUUUGGGGGGGUUGGUUGGGGGACUGGUUUGAGGAUAGGGACAAAAUAAAUUUAUUUUUUCAACAAAAAAGUAAUUGUAAUUUGAAGUUGGAAGAGAGCUUUGGAAAAUGUUUUUCUUAAGUUUUGAAAGGAAGUCAUUUUCCUUAAAUUUGAGAAAAAUGAGUUGAUUUGGAAAACAUUUUCCAAAACAUUUAACCCAACCAAACAUGAGAAAAUUGGAAUAUCCUUCGUACCAAACACACCCUUAGAUAUUGUUUGAUUGGUCUGUCAUCGCAAUUUGACUUUAAGCAACAAAUUUCAUUAAGCCGCUUCGUAGUUGGUGGAUGCACAAUAACUGAGGGGACUAAAGUAUUCCUUCUUAAUAUCCUCUAACGUAAGAUUUUAUAUAUAUUUAAUAUCCAACUCGCUCAAUCAGGCUCUUCCCUCCCUAGACCGUAAUGUGGUUCUACGUACUAAUGUAAACUUGUAUUUAAAUAAAGGUUUAAGUCAUCUAAAGUCAUUUAAAGUUGUCUCUAUACUUCACUUGAAUACCUCAUCUUAGACUUGUUCUAAUUGAACACUUGCACUACAAUUUUUAAUUGAGGUGUUAUGCGGACAACUUUUAAGUGAUCGCAUAUGACUUAAGUCUUAAAUAAAAUAUUAUGUACAGUAAAUAGCACUAUAAUUCCGAGUCACCCAUCCAUCAUCUGAGUGAAACAGGGCGCUCUAAUUAUACGAUCAACAAGAUGAGAAUUCACAUUUCAUUAAUGAAAAUUAGAGACUAAGGUACCCGAAAUCCAAGUCUAGCGCUGCGCGGCUAUCGUUAUUAUUAUUACAUAGUAUGCACAUAUAAUACAAUUAAUAUAUGAUCAAGCAGAAGCAGCAGCUUUGCAAAUUGGGAGGUCCUUUGGAGAAUUAGGUGGAAUAUUGAGAAUUGGGUUACUCUCAAAGAAAUUAACUGGCUUUAUCUCAAAACUUGAUGAUACUGUUGGCAUUAUUGGGAAAUCCUCUUGGCAUGGAAUAUGAUGGAACCCUAAUGUAUACCACACCACUAUGUCUUUAUUCUCAAUUGCCCGGUCUCUACAAAAUACAAACAAACAAAAAAAGUACUAUUAAUUACUCAAAAAUAUCAAACAAGCGCUUACUAUCUGGUCAAAAGUUAUAAUUAAUAUUACUCCUAUAUCAUAACCAAGCCCAUCAAACAGGUCUUAUGUUCGACCAUGACAAUGACCUGGGCCAUUCCUUGACCAUCGCGAUAACAGUGUGAUUUUCCCUUUAUUUAAUCUCACCAUGUUACGUUACCUACAACACGUAACUAUUCAUAGCAAGUAUAAUAUGGUUGAUAACAUGGAAAAUGGAGUAAAUAAUCCUAAUGUAACGUGUUAAAGUGCAUUAAGUUACUCUUUCCAUUUCAAUUUGUUUGUCUUAUUUUCCUUUUUAGUUUUUUUUUUUUUUUCCAAUUCUUUGAUUCUAACUCCCCACAUGUCAUGUUUAAAACCACAAGAAUUUUGGAACAUUCUAUCUAUCUUUAAUUUAAGACAAUAAGAUUCAAAAGUCUUUUUUACUUUUUAAGACUGUAUCAAGUCAAAACCAAUCAAACAAAUCAACACAGAAGAAGUUACCUGUCAGACCAAACAGCAAGAGUAUCAUCACCUUGACUUUGAUAAACAAACAAGCCAGCAGCCCAUUGCUCAGACUCAUUAUAAGGUGUGACCCAAAUUUGGUUAUUAGUAAAAGCAGCUCUCUUCUGAGGAGGAUCAUCAUGGUCAAGUAAACUAGCAGCAGUUCCACCAGGAACAACUUUGUAACCAACAGGAUUCCCAACUCUUGAUUUCUUAUUAGAAUUAAUCACAUGGAAUUCUGAAGGAUCAUAUAGUUUGAGCUUAAUUUGUGCAUCUUUUUCAGUUUUAGCCACAUUUCUAACAGCUUUUAAGUAGCUUCUUCGUGGUGAUUCUCCAGGAGAAGUCAUCUCCUUCUGGAGAUUCACCUUCACGAAAGAAUUGUUCGAUGGACCAUCGAUGUCCAUGUUGAGAUGGAAAGUUACAUAGUGAUCAUGGAUGACUCCUAUUAUGUUUUCAGAUAAGAGAGUGCCAUAGAGAUAUUCAUUUUGGUUUACUUGAUUCAUGUUCACAUAUGGAGAGCCUUUCACCAUCAAUAUUCCACUUAGUCCAACCUAUAUAACAACAAAACAAAAUUGAUAAAAGAAUCUUUAGAAAUAAUAUCAAAAGAAUCUUAGACCAUUUUAUUUCAGGAUGCGGCUUAACAAUAAAUGAAGUCAGAAUCAUAAGGUAUCAUGUUCAAUUCAGGUAGAAGUAAAAACAUUAUGUAAUUUAUUUUUAUCUAUUUAAGCUUCUCGUGUGGAUCAAAAUUGCUUAUGGGGUAGAAAAUAGUACUCCGUAAAAAUUAAUCAAAGUGUGUAAGCUGACGAUUCUAUACUAUUCAACUUGGAAUUGAUAUUGAGAUGUGACUAAUGACCAACCCCACGACCCCACCCCACCCCUUCCAAGGAGGAAAAAAAUAGCUUGAUGUGAAUGGGUGAUUAUUGCUAUUUGCUACCCAUUAAUAUAUUCCACCAGCUCGUGUUUCCCAAGUCUUUGUGGGAUCUGACAUUAUACUUUAUUUGAAAAACAGUAGACUAAAAUUUAUUUCUCGUUUAAUUUGCAGAUUAAUUAAUAUAUGUAUUAGUUAUAGUAUUAUUUAAUCGAUUUUUAGUCAUGAUAUUAUAUAGUGUACUAUAACUAAUACAUCAUGAUAUUAGCAAUACAUGGUCUAUUAACACAUGUAUAAGCAUAGGUAAAGAUAAAAUAUACUUUAAUAUAAUAAACCAAAUAGUGAAUAGGAAAUAGUCUCAGCAUAAAGCAUUAUACUCUCUAUUGGAUCUAAAUUUAUUUUUGAAAAAUAAAAAGAAUAAGAUUUAUUUAUGUUUGACUUUACAAUAUAUGUAAAUAUUUGUGUUAAUAUUUUGAAAUUGAAAAAAUAAAUGCUCGAUUGUUCGAUGUCAGAUCAAAUAAAUAUAAAAAUAAAUGCAUCCACCAGUAGAUGAAAAAUUAAUUACUAAAAGCCAAAAAAAUAAAAUAAUAUCUCAAAUGACUUGAUUCAAUUCCUAUAUAUUAAAAAUAGAUAUUUUAAUUUUAUUCUACUUGUUCAAUUUAGAAAAUCAAUAGAAGUUUUAUCAUUUUCUUCUCAUACUACCCUUGUCAUUAAAUUAUUAUAUACAGUAUUAGUAGUGGAAUUUUUAUUUCCAAAGUAUAAUUAAUAAAGCUAAUUUAAUUAAAUAUUUUUUUAAUAAAUACUUUCUUAAAAAUAAUAUCAAAUCAACAUGGGUCAGGUAUUAUAAAACAGAGGAAUUAGUCAUUAUACUCAUUAAUCAUUAUACUCCUUCAAAAAACAGAUGAGACAUAUAUAUACAUAUAUAUAUAUAUAUAUCUUGCAUGUAAUUAAUAUUAUUGGAUACUCUUCUCUAUCGUAUCAAAAUUAUAAUUAAACGGCAAAUAUAAAAGAUCAAGAACUAGCAAGUAUGCAUGUUAGAAUUAUGCGAGUGCGAAUUUAGAUAACCAGGCUAGUAAAAUUUGAACAUGCGUCUUCCGUUCCAAAUUAUGUGACAUUCAAUUAUUUUUAAUCAGUCUUAAAAAAAUAAUAUUUUUUUAUAUUAAGUAAAGAAAUUAAUAUUUAACUUAUAGUACUAAAAAAUAUCUAUUAUUUGUUUCUGACCAAAUAUAUCAAAAAAUAAUAAUUUAAAAUAUCAAACACUUUCACAUAAAUUGAAACUAACGAUCAAAUAGGUAUGUUGUGCUAACCUUAGGUCGAAUAAGUCCAUCGUUCUGAAACUCCCAAUCGACAAUAUAAUCAUAGUUUGCUACUGACGCUGCCAUUCUCACCACUAACGUCACCUUUGGCCUUACUUCUCGUAUCUGUCCAAAGUUGCAUGCAAAACCAACAAAAUCAAUACUAUCAAACAAUAUAUUUUCAGAAACAAAUGUCAUACAACACUUGUUCUGUGUUGACACAUAACAAAUUUACUUUUCUUGGUUUUCGUGUCAAAAACCCCGAUUAAAAUUCGAAUCAUGCACUAAAACAGUCUAGUACUUGUACCACAACCAUACACUAGUGCUGACACAUAACUUAUGGACAAAUUUAAGUAGUACACAUACAAUUUUGUAUCAUUUACUUUUUCAUAGUGAAUAAAGUUGAGUGUACCAUAUACAAUUUGAAAAAAAAGAGUGAAAUUAUUUACCGGCAAACCAGUAAUUGGACAUUCAGCAUGUCGCCAUCCAAUAUCACCAGCAUAUCUUUCAAAUACACAAAUCAUAUUGGAGCGCACAUAUGGUGUUCCAUCAGCUGCCACAAAAACACCAUCCAUAUAAUACGCAUUACGAGGACAAUCAUUUAACGGGUCAAGUGGCAUCGCUUGUAACCCGAACCCGUAUUCACCUGCAUCCAUAUACGUCUUAAAAUACCAUGCAUCUGAUGGAUCCAUGUAAGGUACAAACAAUUCCGACGUAAACCCUUUAUACAUAACAUUCCUCAUCUUCCCUGUAUCCGGAUCCUGAACCAUGGCCCGGGAUAUAAUAACCCCGGCUCUCGGGUCGGGCUUGAGGUGAAAUUCCCAAUUUGCCCAUUUAACUAGAUGAUUGUUUUCUAUAGUGAAACUUGGACCAUUUGGUUGUUCGAUAGAUAUUGGUUUGAGUAAGUUUAUUUUUUGUGUGUUUUUUUUAAUACGGGAGUAGCGAUAGUCUGUGUUGGCGGCCUUUGGUAUUGGUAUACU
Molecule: long non-coding RNA, 12074 nt
Filed under: Solanum tuberosum (potato)
Lineage: Eukaryota; Viridiplantae; Streptophyta; Magnoliopsida; Solanales; Solanaceae
Description: long non-coding RNA (STUB_LNC008577)
Source: RNAcentral